UUUAGGUGUUGGAACAGGGAGAUAAGCAUUUAAUUUCACUGGUGCUUACCAACUCCACUGAUCCAAAUUAAAUCAGGAACUUCUUGGUAAUUUGGACUCUCACAUAUUGGUACUCAAACAUUACAUAGGUUGUCCUUGAUUAAUUUAUAGGACACAGUCAACCUAGUUCUAGGAAAUAAUGUUUCUUGGGAUCAGUAGCCUUUGGUAGAAUUAAGUGUGAACAAAUUUCUUAGAAAUGA
Telopea speciosissima is the source of this 239-nucleotide long non-coding RNA. RefSeq lists it as uncharacterized. The record is from RefSeq and is a predicted model, not a curated record. The transcript has 3 exons. NCBI's taxonomy places the organism in Eukaryota, Viridiplantae, Streptophyta, Magnoliopsida, Proteales, Proteaceae.